This 76-nucleotide transfer RNA is filed under the name Aeromonas hydrophila. RNAcentral describes it as "tRNA-Ala (GGC) (tRNA-Ala-GGC-2-1)". It matches the Rfam family "tRNA". Rfam says of the family: Transfer RNA (tRNA) molecules are approximately 80 nucleotides in length. Their secondary structure includes four short double-helical elements and three loops (D, anti-codon, and T loops). Further hydrogen bonds mediate the characteristic L-shaped molecular structure. tRNAs have two regions of fundamental functional importance: the anti-codon, which is responsible for specific mRNA codon recognition, and the 3' end, to which the tRNAs corresponding amino acid is attached (by aminoacyl-tRNA synthetases). tRNAs cope with the degeneracy of the genetic code in two manners: having more than one tRNA (with a specific anti-codon) for a particular amino acid; and 'wobble' base-pairing, i.e. permitting non-standard base-pairing at the 3rd anti-codon position. The record is from RNAcentral. Lineage: Bacteria; Pseudomonadati; Pseudomonadota; Gammaproteobacteria; Aeromonadales; Aeromonadaceae.
GGGGUUAUAGCUCAGCUGGGAGAGCGCUUGCAUGGCAUGCAAGAGGUCCGCGGUUCGAUACCGCGUAGCUCCACCA